CUAGUUGGUGAGGUAAUGGCUCACCAAGGCAACGAUCGAUAGCUGUUCUGAGAGGAAGAUCAGCCACACUGGGACUGAGACACGGCCCAGACUCCUACGGGAGGCAGCAGUUGGGAAUCUUGGACAAUGGGGGAAACCCUGAUCCAGCCAUGCCGCGUGAGUGAUGAAGGCCUUCGGGUUGUAAAGCUCUUUUACCCGGGAAGAUAAUGACUGUACCGGGAGAAUAAGCUCCGGCUAACUUCGUGCCAGCAGCCGCGGUAAUACGAAGGGGGCUAGCGUUGUUCGGAAUUACUGGGCGUAAAGCGCGCGCAGGCGGUUUCUCAAGUCAGUGGUGAAAGCCCGGAGCUCAACUCCGGAACUGCCAUUGAAACUGUGAAACUUGAGGACGAGAGAGGUGAGUGGAAUUCCCAGUGUAGAGGUGAAAUUCGUAGAUAUUGGGAAGAACACCGGUGGCGAAGGCGGCUCACUGGCUCGUUUCUGACGCUCAGGCGCGACAGCGUGGGGAUCAAACAGGAUUAGAUACCCUGGUAGUCCACGCCGUAAACGAUGAACGCUAGCCGUUGGGUAGCUUGCUAUUCAGUGGCGCAGCUAACGCAUUAAGCGUUCCGCCUGGGGAGUACGGCCGCAAGGUUGAAACUCAAGGGAAUUGACG
RNAcentral lists this ribosomal RNA (652 nucleotides) under uncultured Alphaproteobacteria bacterium. RNAcentral's name for it is "SSU rRNA". It matches the Rfam family "Bacterial small subunit ribosomal RNA", at positions 245 to 915 of the family's 1533-position model. Lineage: Bacteria; Pseudomonadati; Pseudomonadota; Alphaproteobacteria. The record is from RNAcentral.